Molecule: long non-coding RNA, 2244 nt
Organism: Quercus robur (English oak)
Lineage: Eukaryota; Viridiplantae; Streptophyta; Magnoliopsida; Fagales; Fagaceae
Exons: 2
Source: RefSeq, a predicted model, not a curated record
UCUCCAUUUUAUAUGACAAGUGCUUAUUUUGUUGACUUUGCAAGUCGCCUUGUAUUUUUAAGUAAAAGUGGUGAUGCACACAGCAAGCAUCACAUAAAGUUUAGGGAGAAUGGGUACAAUAAUUUUCCUGAGAUUGUGUUUUGGAACCUUAGGAACUCUAAGGCCACUCCUGUUCCAUCCAAUCAGAGUGGGGUGGCUCUUGUAUCUCCCAUGAAUUACCCUGUACUUUGCAAAAUAUGGUAAGGCUACAAUAGAAAUAAAUUAUAUUUUUCUUUAAUCUGGGGAGUUCCUUUGUCUAUCACAUAUUGACCCUUAGUUAAUGUACUAAUUGGAAUUGGAAGUUAGAUAUACGAAUUGGGUACUCAGGUCCUUUCUUUUAGGGUGCAGGGGUUUGAAGUUAUUGUUAUUGAUAUUGUAAUUUUGCAUGCAGUCCAGCAUAGCAGUGGACAUUUUGUAGGUCUGUGGUCUUCCUCUUGAGUUAUAAGAGCAUAAAUUUGCAUAAAAAGUUUGGAUGUCUUUUGAUGCUGUAAAUGUGGCUGGAUUUUUAAAUGUCCUAUAUGAAUUAUGGCAUAUGUUUUAGAUCAUAAGAACAUUGUUAUUACAGUGCAUGUUAAUUAAAAUGUCUUUUUAAGUCUUGGUCAUAUACAACAUUUAUGAUUUAUGUAAUCUAUCAACCAAAACCAUGUCUAGUAUUCUGCAUAAAUUAUUAGAAUCCAAACAGAAUGCUAAGAAAAUGCUUGCAUUUAAAUAUUUUGUUAUAAAUUUUAAGGAUAUUAAUUUAUUUUUAAUUCUUGUGUUCCUUUGGUGUUUAUCACUUUAGUCAUAAUGUCUUUAUUAUAUGCUUUAUUUGAUGAAUUCCCCUUUGAUGUGCAAAAAACUACCAAAAUUCUCUAUGCAACGAGGCGUGCCCUUAUGAACAUCUCAUUUUUCUAAGUGUUGAUAGUUAUACCAUGUAAAUGCAGAUGCUUUAGUUACCACUUGAGCUGCAAAAAUUCCUACAAGUUAGAAGCUGCCAUGUUGAGAACUUAGGAAUGAAUAAUCCAGACAUGUAGACCAAUUGCAAGAUGUUUUUGAUUAUCUCUUUUUCAAUUAUUGCCAUGAUGGUAUACAAAUAUAGAUGUGAAGAAACACAUUGUAGUGGAUUUCUUUGUAAAUGAAUUUUUUCCUUCUUAUGAUGAGCAAGUAAUAGAAUAAGUAGUCGUCAAGAUACUUAUAAUGGAUUUCUUUGUAGUUUUUCAACUUCCUUUAGAUACUUUACAACAAGAGACCUGUUUGUAAUACAUGAAACCGGGUUGUAUAUCAUUUCAAGUUACCGUUAUUAUGAGGUAAAAAACACUACAUUUAGCUCCAAGUGCAAGUAGGUGGUAUGAACCUGUGGAAAAAUGGUUUCAUAUAGCAUUCAGAUCAAGAGAGCUAAAAUAUUAUAACACCCAAAAUUUGCCCAAUAAAAAAAAAAAUUACAUUAGUUUUUGUAUCAAUUGUGUAAAAUAUGAAAUUUCAAAUUUAAAAAUAUUUUAAAUUAAAUGGCUAAGAGGGGUCAUAUAUGAUGUUUGUUCAACUGAAUGACUUCCUAGGGCUAACUCAACUAUAUGGCCAUGUGCUAACUACUUCUUGGUAUUGCAUUUUUCAAGCUAUAAACAAGUUUUGUCCAUGUGUUUAAAGAUUGCUUUGAGAAAAUUCUGCAGGUACAUAAUGCCUUUCAUUUCUACAUAAGUCUAUCACUAAUACAAUCAUCACAUAAUGUAUAUAGCUUUUUAUUUUAUUUUUUCCCCUUUCCUUUGUUUUAUUGUCCAAUUUAUUUUAUUUAAGUUAACUCAUUGCUUCUUCUUUUUUCUCCUUAGAAAAAUACAAAAGCAUGUGCUUAUAAAAACAAAGUUAUUGAAAAUUGGAGGACAUUGAGAUCUUGUUUGGGAGGAAUAGAGCUCCUAGAGUUGGUGCAAAAUAUAUGGACGAUGCAAUUGAAGUUAUGACUGAGGAAGGAGAAAAGUGAUGAAUUCUCCUAUUGCACAACAACACGUCAAUAUUUGGUAUCAAUAAGUUAUGCAAUUGAACCUUGUCAAAGAAAAAAGAGUAGAAAAGAUACACUUUGAAUCAAUUUUUUAGUUUGAGAUUUUGAAUGUUGUUAGAAAAAAACCCAUGUAUUUGUACUCUCUCUCUCUCUAAAAUAUUUUAGUUGGCAAGAGUUGGCAAGACAUUUUUUUAGUUGGCUAUGAUGGAAGAUAUUUAGUCAUUAUCUUGUCAAUU